AUUGAACGCUGGCGGCAUGCCUUACACAUGCAAGUCGAACGGCAGCACGGGAGCAAUCCUGGUGGCGAGUGGCGAACGGGUGAGUAAUAUAUCGGAACGUGCCCGGUCGUGGGGAUAACGUAGCGAAAGCUACGCUAAUACCGCAUACGAUCUACGGAUGAAAGCGGGGGAUCGCAAGACCUCGCGCGAUUGGAGCGGCCGAUAUCAGAUUAGGUAGUUGGUGAGGUAAAGGCUCACCAAGCCGACGAUCUGUAGCUGGUCUGAGAGGACGACCAGCCACACUGGGACUGAGACACGGGCCCAGACUCCUACGGGAGGCAGCAGUGGGGAAUUUGGACAAUGGGCGCAAGCCUGAUCCAGCAAUGCCGCGUGCAGGA
RNAcentral lists this ribosomal RNA (377 nucleotides) under uncultured bacterium. Its description in RNAcentral is "bacterial SSU rRNA". It matches the Rfam family "Bacterial small subunit ribosomal RNA", at positions 29 to 408 of the family's 1533-position model. The record is from RNAcentral.